AGUUGAUCUCGCUGACCCCCGCACUUGAAUUAUUAAGCAAAAGUCCAGCUUGAGUUGACCUCGCUGGUAACUCUUGGAUUAAAAGAGCUGUACAGGAGAUUAGCUCUCAUAUAUUUAUUGAUGUGAUUCACUGGGUGUGUGAGUAGCUCCAAAUUAAGUUUUCGUGCAAAUAUUGAAUGAAUUAUUAUUAUAUGUGAUGGAUGUGUAUUUCAUGGUAGGAU
RNAcentral lists this unclassified non-coding RNA (221 nucleotides) under Hevea brasiliensis (rubber tree). Lineage: Eukaryota; Viridiplantae; Streptophyta; Magnoliopsida; Malpighiales; Euphorbiaceae. The record is from RNAcentral.